GGGUUGUGAGGUUAAGCGACUAAGCGUACACGGUGGAUGCCCUGGCAGUCAGAGGCGAUGAAGGACGUGCUAAUCUGCGAUAAGCGUCGGUAAGGUGAUAUGAACCGUUAUAACCGGCGAUUUCCGAAUGGGGAAACCCAGUGUGUUUCGACACACUAUCAUUAACUGAAUCCAUAGGUUAAUGAGGCGAACCGGGGGAACUGAAACAUCUAAGUACCCCGAGGAAAAGAAAUCAACCGAGAUUCCCCCAGUAGCGGCGAGCGAACGGGGAGCAGCCCAGAGCCUGAAUCAGUAUGUGUGUUAGUGGAAGCGUCUGGAAAGGCGCGCGAUACAGGGUGACAGCCCCGUACACAAAAAUGCACAUAUUGUGAGCUCGAUGAGUAGGGCGGGACACGUGGUAUCCUGUCUGAAUAUGGGGGGACCAUCCUCCAAGGCUAAAUACUCCUGACUGACCGAUAGUGAACCAGUACCGUGAGGGAAAGGCGAAAAGAACCCCGGCGAGGGGAGUGAAAAAGAACCUGAAACCGUGUACGUACAAGCAGUGGGAGCACGCUUAGGCGUGUGACUGCGUACCUUUUGUAUAAUGGGUCAGCGACUUAUAUUCUGUAGCAAGGUUAACCGAAUAGGGGAGCCGAAGGGAAACCGAGUCUUAACUGGGCGUUAAGUUGCAGGGUAUAGACCCGAAACCCGGUGAUCUAGCCAUGGGCAGGUUGAAGGUUGGGUAACACUAACUGGAGGACCGAACCGACUAAUGUUGAAAAAUUAGCGGAUGACUUGUGGCUGGGGGUGAAAGGCCAAUCAAACCGGGAGAUAGCUGGUUCUCCCCGAAAGCUAUUUAGGUAGCGCCUCGUGAAUUCAUCUCCGGGGGUAGAGCACUGUUUCGGCAAGGGGGUCAUCCCGACUUACCAACCCGAUGCAAACUGCGAAUACCGGAGAAUGUUAUCACGGGAGACACACGGCGGGUGCUAACGUCCGUCGUGAAGAGGGAAACAACCCAGACCGCCAGCUAAGGUCCCAAAGUCAUGGUUAAGUGGGAAACGAUGUGGGAAGGCCCAGACAGCCAGGAUGUUGGCUUAGAAGCAGCCAUCAUUUAAAGAAAGCGUAAUAGCUCACUGGUCGAGUCGGCCUGCGCGGAAGAUGUAACGGGGCUAAACCAUGCACCGAAGCUGCGGCAGCGACGCUGAUGCGUUGUUGGGUAGGGGAGCGUUCUGUAAGCCUGUGAAGGUGUGCUGUGAGGCAUGCUGGAGGUAUCAGAAGUGCGAAUGCUGACAUAAGUAACGAUAAAGCGGGUGAAAAGCCCGCUCGCCGGAAGACCAAGGGUUCCUGUCCAACGUUAAUCGGGGCAGGGUGAGUCGACCCCUAAGGCGAGGCCGAAAGGCGUAGUCGAUGGGAAACAGGUUAAUAUUCCUGUACUUGGUGUUACUGCGAAGGGGGGACGGAGAAGGCUAUGUUGGCCGGGCGACGGUUGUCCCGGUUUAAGCGUGUAGGCUGGUUUUCCAGGCAAAUCCGGAAAAUCAAGGCUGAGGCGUGAUGACGAGGCACUACGGUGCUGAAGCAACAAAUGCCCUGCUUCCAGGAAAAGCCUCUAAGCAUCAGGUAACAUCAAAUCGUACCCCAAACCGACACAGGUGGUCAGGUAGAGAAUACCAAGGCGCUUGAGAGAACUCGGGUGAAGGAACUAGGCAAAAUGGUGCCGUAACUUCGGGAGAAGGCACGCUGAUAUGUAGGUGAAGUCCCUCGCGGAUGGAGCUGAAAUCAGUCGAAGAUACCAGCUGGCUGCAACUGUUUAUUAAAAACACAGCACUGUGCAAACACGAAAGUGGACGUAUACGGUGUGACGCCUGCCCGGUGCCGGAAGGUUAAUUGAUGGGGUUAGCCGCAAGGCGAAGCUCUUGAUCGAAGCCCCGGUAAACGGCGGCCGUAACUAUAACGGUCCUAAGGUAGCGAAAUUCCUUGUCGGGUAAGUUCCGACCUGCACGAAUGGCGUAAUGAUGGCCAGGCUGUCUCCACCCGAGACUCAGUGAAAUUGAACUCGCUGUGAAGAUGCAGUGUACCCGCGGCAAGACGGAAAGACCCCGUGAACCUUUACUAUAGCUUGACACUGAACAUUGAGCCUUGAUGUGUAGGAUAGGUGGGAGGCUUAGAAGUGUGGACGCCAGUCUGCAUGGAGCCGACCUUGAAAUACCACCCUUUAAUGUUUGAUGUUCUAACGUUGACCCGUAAUCCGGGUUGCGGACAGUGUCUGGUGGGUAGUUUGACUGGGGCGGUCUCCUCCUAAAGAGUAACGGAGGAGCACGAAGGUUGGCUAAUCCUGGUCGGACAUCAGGAGGUUAGUGCAAUGGCAUAAGCCAGCUUGACUGCGAGCGUGACGGCGCGAGCAGGUGCGAAAGCAGGUCAUAGUGAUCCGGUGGUUCUGAAUGGAAGGGCCAUCGCUCAACGGAUAAAAGGUACUCCGGGGAUAACAGGCUGAUACCGCCCAAGAGUUCAUAUCGACGGCGGUGUUUGGCACCUCGAUGUCGGCUCAUCACAUCCUGGGGCUGAAGUAGGUCCCAAGGGUAUGGCUGUUCGCCAUUUAAAGUGGUACGCGAGCUGGGUUUAGAACGUCGUGAGACAGUUCGGUCCCUAUCUGCCGUGGGCGCUGGAGAACUGAGGGGGGCUGCUCCUAGUACGAGAGGACCGGAGUGGACGCAUCACUGGUGUUCGGGUUGUCAUGCCAAUGGCACUGCCCGGUAGCUAAAUGCGGAAGAGAUAAGUGCUGAAAGCAUCUAAGCACGAAACUUGCCCCGAGAUGAGUUCUCCCUGACUCCUUGAGAGUCCUGAAGGAACGUUGAAGACGACGACGUUGAUAGGCCGGGUGUGUAAGCGCAGCGAUGCGUUGAGCUAACCGGUACUAAUGAACCGUGAGGCUUAACCUUACAACGCCGAAGGUGUUU
Molecule: ribosomal RNA, 2933 nt
Filed under: Escherichia coli
Lineage: Bacteria; Pseudomonadati; Pseudomonadota; Gammaproteobacteria; Enterobacterales; Enterobacteriaceae
Description: 23S ribosomal RNA
Rfam family: Bacterial large subunit ribosomal RNA
Source: RNAcentral